UACAGAGGCCCCGAGCGUUAAUCGGAAUUACUGGGCGUAAAGGGCUCGUAGGCGGCCAACUAAGUCAUACGUGAAAUCCCUCGGCUUAACCGGGGAACUGCGUCUGAUACUGGAUGGCUUGAGUUCGGGAGAGGGAUGCGGAAUUCCAGGUGUAGCGGUGAAAUGCGUAGAUAUCUGGAGGAACACCGGUGGCGAAGGCGGCAUCCUGGACCAACACUGACGCUGAGGAGCGAAAGCCAGGGGAGCAAACGGG
This 253-nucleotide ribosomal RNA is filed under the name uncultured bacterium. Its description in RNAcentral is "partial 16S ribosomal RNA". It matches the Rfam family "Bacterial small subunit ribosomal RNA", at positions 524 to 776 of the family's 1533-position model. The record is from RNAcentral.